AACGAACGCUGGCGGCAUGCCUAACACAUGCAAGCCGAACGAAGGCUUCGGCCUUAGUGGCGCACGGGUGAGUAACGCGUGGGAAACUGCCUAUUGGUGGGGAAUAACGACGGGAAACUGUCGCUAAUACCGCAUAAGCACUUCGGGGGAAAGAUUUAUCGCCGAUAGAUGUGCCCGCGUCCGAUUAGCUAGUUGGUGAGGUAAUGGCUCACCAAGGCGACGAUCGGUAGCUGGUCUGAGAGGCAUGAUCAGCCACACUGGGACUGAGACACGGCCCAGACUCCUACGGGAGGCAGCAGUGGGGAAUAUUGGACAAUGGCGAAGCCUGAUCCAGCAAUGCCGCGUGAGUGAUGAAGGCCUUAGGGUUGUAAAGCUCUUUCGGGUGGGACGAUGAUGAUGGUACCACCAGAAGAAGCCCCGGCUAACUUCGUGCCAGCCGCCGCCGUAA
This 448-nucleotide ribosomal RNA is filed under the name uncultured bacterium. RNAcentral describes it as "partial 16S ribosomal RNA". It matches the Rfam family "Bacterial small subunit ribosomal RNA", at positions 29 to 523 of the family's 1533-position model. The record is from RNAcentral.